Molecule: ribosomal RNA, 263 nt
Filed under: uncultured archaeon
Lineage: Archaea
Description: partial 16S ribosomal RNA
Rfam family: Archaeal small subunit ribosomal RNA
Source: RNAcentral
AGACGUCUACAUUAGAUACCCGGUAGUCCCAGCCGUAAACUAUGCUCGCUAGGUGUCAGGCAUGGCGCGACCGUGUCUGGUACCGCAGGGAAGCCGUGAAGCGAGCCACCUGGGAAGUACGGCCGCAAGGCUGAAACUUAAAGGAAUUGGCGGGGAGCACAACAACGGGUGGAGCCUGCGGUUUAAUUGGACUCAACGCCGGACAACUCACCGGGAACGACAGCAAUAUGUAGGCCAGGCUGAAGACCUUGCCUGAAUCGCUG